GACGAACGCUGGCGGCGUGCUUAACACAUGCAAGUCGAACGGAAAGGCCCUGCUUUUGUGGGGUGCUCGAGUGGCGAACGGGUGAGUAACACGUGAGUAACCUGCCCUUGACUUUGGGAUAACUUCAGGAAACUGGGGCUAAUACCGGAUAGGAGCUCCUGCUGCAUGGUGGGGGUUGGAAAGUUUCGGCGGUUGGGGAUGGACUCGCGGCUUAUCAGCUUGUUGGUGGGGUAGUGGCUUACCAAGGCUUUGACGGGUAGCCGGCCUGAGAGGGUGACCGGCGUCAUUGGGACUGAGAUACGGCCCAGACUCCUACGGGAGGCAGCAGUGGAGAAUAUUGCACAAUGAGCGGAAGCCUGAUACAGCAGCGCCGCGUGCGGGAUGACGGCCUUCGGGUUGUGAACCGCUUUCGCCUGUGACGAAGCGUGAGUGACGGUAAUGGGUAAGGAAGCACCGGCUAACUACGUG
Molecule: ribosomal RNA, 468 nt
Filed under: uncultured bacterium
Lineage: Bacteria
Description: partial 16S ribosomal RNA
Rfam family: Bacterial small subunit ribosomal RNA
Source: RNAcentral